AAAACGCGCCAUACGCAAGGUCGCUCAGUCGGCCUCUGUCAAACAACGGAUAAAUGAUAAGCAAGAUUGACGAUAGAUAACUCGCAAAGAAUAUCAACAUGUCGUAUCAAGCGCACAAGGAACACAAAUUGCAAAGUUUAGACGUUUUCAGGAGCAGCCGUUUUGAUCGAGACGCGACAUAAAGCGACGGUGCAGAUGUCAAACUUACGGAGACCGCAAAAUGGAGAAAACGCUGGUGGUACGUUCAUUCGUUUUGUGGUGCAACCCUAGCUUCUCUACCACAAGUAAACGAACACGCCGUGAAACAAAACAUGUUCCUUAGUGCCGCGUAGAAUCUUGAACUAGAUACAAAUAAUAUGACAGGAUUAACGGCAGUGCUAAUAGAAGGGAAAAUGUAGAAAAACAGAGCUAAAGAUAGUAAACACGAAUCUUUGCUAUACAAUGAGGGUAAAACGAUUUUAAGAAUUAAAUAAACACACAAUGGGGUCCAACACAGUAAAAAUGCUGCGACGAUAGAAAUAAAGACCUUCAUGAUAA
This is a long non-coding RNA of Stylophora pistillata, 537 nucleotides long. The record is from RefSeq and is a predicted model, not a curated record. Lineage: Eukaryota; Metazoa; Cnidaria; Anthozoa; Scleractinia; Pocilloporidae.